This 73-nucleotide transfer RNA is filed under the name Ancoracysta twista. Its description in RNAcentral is "tRNA-Trp". It matches the Rfam family "tRNA". Rfam says of the family: Transfer RNA (tRNA) molecules are approximately 80 nucleotides in length. Their secondary structure includes four short double-helical elements and three loops (D, anti-codon, and T loops). Further hydrogen bonds mediate the characteristic L-shaped molecular structure. tRNAs have two regions of fundamental functional importance: the anti-codon, which is responsible for specific mRNA codon recognition, and the 3' end, to which the tRNAs corresponding amino acid is attached (by aminoacyl-tRNA synthetases). tRNAs cope with the degeneracy of the genetic code in two manners: having more than one tRNA (with a specific anti-codon) for a particular amino acid; and 'wobble' base-pairing, i.e. permitting non-standard base-pairing at the 3rd anti-codon position. Lineage: Eukaryota; Nebulidia; Nebulidea; Nebulidida; Ancoracystidae. The record is from RNAcentral.
GGGGGAGUAAUUCAAUUGGUAGAAUGUUAGUCUCCAAAACUAUAUGUUAGGGGUUCAAGUCCUCUCUUCCCCG